UACGUAGGUGGCAAGCGUUGUCCGGAUUUACUGGGCGUAAAGAGCGCGCAGGCGGCUAUCCAAGUCAGUGGUGAAAGCCCGGAGCUCAACUCCGGAACUGCCAUUGAAACUGUUUAGCUUGAGGAUGAGAGAGGUGAGUGGAAUUCCCAGUGUAGAGGUGAAAUUCGUAGAUAUUGGGAAGAACACCGGCGGCGAAGGCGGCUCACUGGCUCAUUACUGACGCUCAGGCGCGAUAGCGUGGGGAUCAAACAGG
This 253-nucleotide ribosomal RNA is filed under the name uncultured bacterium. Its description in RNAcentral is "partial 16S ribosomal RNA". It matches the Rfam family "Bacterial small subunit ribosomal RNA", at positions 524 to 776 of the family's 1533-position model. The record is from RNAcentral.